GACGAACGCUGGCGGCGUGCUUAACACAUGCAAGUCGAGCGGUAAGGCCCUUUCGGGGGUACGACGAGCGGCGAACGGGUGAGUAACACGUGGGUGACCUGCCCUCAGCUCUGGGAUAAGCCUGGGAAACCGGGUCUAAUACUGGAUAUGACUCCAUGACGCAUGUUGUGGGGUGGAAAGCCUUGUGCGGCUGAGGAUGGGGCCCNCGGCCUAUCAGCUUGUUGGUGGGGUGAGGGCCUACCAAGGCGACGACGGGUAGCCGGCCUGAGAGGGCGACCGGCCACACUGGGACUGAGACACGGCCCAGACUCCUACGGGAGGCAGCAGUGGGGAAUCUUGCGCAAUGGGCGAAAGCCUGACGCAGCGACGCCGCGUGAGGGAUGACGGCCU
This 390-nucleotide ribosomal RNA is filed under the name uncultured bacterium. Its description in RNAcentral is "bacterial SSU rRNA". It matches the Rfam family "Bacterial small subunit ribosomal RNA", at positions 28 to 417 of the family's 1533-position model. The record is from RNAcentral.